RNAcentral lists this ribosomal RNA (253 nucleotides) under uncultured bacterium. RNAcentral describes it as "partial 16S ribosomal RNA". It matches the Rfam family "Bacterial small subunit ribosomal RNA", at positions 524 to 776 of the family's 1533-position model. The record is from RNAcentral.
UACGUAGGGGGCAAGCGUUGUCCGGAUUUACUGGGCGUAAAGAGCGUGUAGGCGGCCAAGCAGGUCCGUUGUGAAAACUGGAGGCUUAACCUCCAGACGUCGACGGAAACCGCGUGGCUAGAGUCCGGAAGAGGAGAGUGGAAUUCCUGGUGUAGCGGUGAAAUGCGCAGAUAUCAGGAAGAACACCAAUGGCGAAGGCAGCUCUCUGGGACGGUACUGACGCUGGGACGCGAAAGCGUGGGGAGCGAACAGG